RNAcentral lists this unclassified non-coding RNA (467 nucleotides) under rhizosphere metagenome. RNAcentral describes it as "partial ribosomal RNA internal transcribed spacer region". The record is from RNAcentral.
GUAGGUAGCACGUUUGCCUACCGGAGCCCCGGGCAGCGACUCUAAAGAACUGCCCCCCAAGUCGGCCCUCGUUGGCCGGCGACGCCAUCAGUCUGCGCUGGGAGAGCCCUCACCGGCCCGACCAGAAGCUCGCUCGCGAGUCCACAGAUCAAACGAUAGCGGCCGUCUUUGGCGGUUCAGAUAUGACCGGCCCCAGCCUUCGUCGGCUGGCGAAUUCGCGGAACCUGCGGAAGGAUCAUUACAGAGAGGGGUCUUCGGACCCCGGGGGCUCCGGCCCCCAACUCUUCACCCUUUGUAUACCUACCUUUGUUGCUUUGGCGGGCCUUGGGGUUCGCCCCAUGGCGGCUCCGGGCUUCGCUGCCCGGCCGUCCCGCGCCCGUCAGAGACCCAUCAAACUCGUUUUAUCAGUGUAGUCCGAGCAAGAACACAAUAGUAAAAAACUUUCAACAACGGAUCUCUUGGUUCUG